GAUGCAAUGUCUCUACCAUCAUGCUUGAGAUGGACCGAAUUCUGAGGCCUGGUGGACGCGUGUACAUUCGCGAUUCCCUCGCUGUUAUGGAUGAGCUUCAAGAGAUCGGAACAGCUGUGGGCUGGCACGUAGCAAUGAGGGACACCUCCGAAGGGCCUCACGCCAGUUAUAGGAUCUUGACGUGUGACAAGCGCCUCAUACGCUCCUGAGGAAGCAAGGUAUCGUAUCGUAGGUAGUGACUUGUACAUUCUGGGACCGCUAUCCACGGCCGCAGCAGCUAACGGGUUAUCAUUUGCAAAGUUUAGGAGCAUCAAGGAAUGAAUGGUACAAGAAAGAGGUUGCUUUGUUUCUCAGAAUUCAGUAACAUUGCAAUUUGCAUGGCUCUACUCCGUUGUAACAUAGGUCAAAAUUAAAAGCCUAAAAACCAUAUAUGGUUUCUUUCUUUUUUUCUUUUUGAUAUUUCAUUUUUUGCUGUUAUUUGGUUCUCGUAUUCCCUUAAUUAUUGUCACUUCAAAUAGUGUUUCAAAGUAAUUAUGGACGCAUUAAAUAUUAAAUUUUUGUUGAUCUGUAUAUCUAUUGUAAGAAGUUUCAUUUAAUAGGUGUACUUUGUAUCUAGAUUUCUGUUUUGAGCUAUUUUUUAUGUCUUUUUUGUAAAAGAUAAUUUGCCUAAUCUAUUGCUACGGAUUGUGAAAUAUACUAAUCCAACUAAUCUACAGAGCAUUUUCACCCUAAGCGACUCCUAGAUUAAUUCCUAUUUCCUAAUAUAUUGGUUUAUCAAUUAUAAUUCUCUUAUUUUGUAGCAAAGGCUUAUUUUGAAGACUAAGUUUCCCCCCAAAAAGGAAUAUUUCAUAUUUGUAAUAUAAAUCUCUAGGUCCAAGAAAUAAUCACAGUAUAAAAUUUUAGAAAUGUCGCAUGAAUAAUACUUUUAUAUUUAUUUAUUUUUGAAAAAAACAACUCAAAAUCGAGCUGAAACUAAAAACUCUGAACUUAUAGCAUUUUUCAUAAAAUAUUUCGUUAUACAAAAUAUGCUGACAGAAAGAUAACUUAUCUCGUUGGAUGGAAUAUUUUGGGUCGAAAGUUCGGGAGUUUUGUCAUCUUUUUGUUACCGAUUUCUGUGUAGCGAGACAUUUUAUGCAAUAAAGUUCAGAGUUUUUUUCAGGAGAAAAUGAAAAUUCGAGACAUUUUAUAAAUACGUUGAAAGUUCCUGACAUAAAAUACCAUUAACCCUAGCUACUCUCUUUCUAUUUUGAUGUUUUUUUCAUUAAUUUUAAUAAAAAAAAUUAAUGAGGCUCGAUUCUUGAAUUACAGUAUAUUUAAAAAAGAAAUCGUUCUUUUUAUUAUAGCCUUACAUCUCUCUUGUAUAUAAUAAUUUUCAACUCGUGCUCCCCCAAAAAAAAUCGAAUUAGGAAAUGUUUGAAAAUUAUCGUGAAUUCCUGUGAGGCGUCGCGAUCCGUGACAGCUAGGGGUAAUCUCGUAACGACGACGUGGCGUGAUGAGAGUGGUGGACCACAGAGAUUAAGAUGAGGGCGCACCCACCUAAUGACCUAUGUUGCUACAGUUUUUGAUGAUCAUGCGUUGUCGCAGUCAGGUAAAGUUAGAAAACCAGAUUCCAUAUCAAUUUGGGCCCCACACCAUAUUUAUCCCGUGUUAAUAGGCAAAAAUGCCCAUUUUCUUAUAAACACUUGUAAAAAAAAACCGAACCGAACCGAAUUAACCGAACAAACCGAACCGAAUUAACCAAAAUUUUUAUAAUUAAAACCGAACCGAACCAAAAAACCGAAUUAAUCCGAAGAAAACCGAAAUUUUCGAAAAAAAACCGAAAAAACCGAAAUUUUCGAAAAAAAAUCGAAAAUUCCAAAAAAAAAACUAUAAAAUUAAAAAAAUAUUAGAAGUUAGAUAUUAUAAAAUUAUAAUUAAAAUAUUAUAUAUAUAUAUAUUUAUAUAUAUAUUAUAAAUAUAAUUCGGUUUUCGGUUUGUUCGGUUUAAAAAUCCGACCGAACCGAACCGAAAAGUCGAAAUUUUAUGAAAAAAAAACCGAACCGAACCGAAAAACCGAACCAUAUUUUAAAAUUCCGGUUUGGAUCGGUUCGGUUAUUCGGUUUCGGAUUUUUUGCUCACCCCUACCUCNCACUUUCUUGCUUCAAUUUUCAUACUAAUGUUCUUCUAGCCGUUUGUAACGGGUUCUUUCUAGAUUUAGAAUCGUAGGAUUUCGUUGAGAAUGACACUUCAUUUUCUAUGCCACUACUCUAGCAUCAACAUACACCCAUCCAUCCUUAUUUGACAUGUCACAUGAGUUUUUGUGAUUCUUUUGAGCAGAUGCAAUGUCUCUACCAUCAUGCUUGAGAUGGACCGAAUUCUGAGGCCUGGUGGACGCGUGUACAUUCGCGAUUCCCUCGCUGUUAUGGAUGAGCUUCAAGAGAUCGGAACAGCUGUGGGCUGGCACGUAGCAAUGAGGGACACCUCCGAAGGGCCUCACGCCAGUUAUAGGAUCUUGACGUGUGAUAAGCGCCUCAUACGCUCCUGAGGAAGCAAGGUAUCGUAUCGUAGGUAGUGACUUGUACAUUCUGGGACCGCGAUCCACGGCCGCAGCAGCUAACGGGUUAUCAUUUGCAAAGAAUAGUUACGUUUAGGAGCAUCAAGGAAUGAAUGGUACAAGAAAGAGGUUGUUCUACUCCGUUGUAACAUAGGUCAAAAUUAAAAGCCUAAAAACCAUAUAUGGUUUCUUUCUUUUUUUCUUUUUGAUAUUUCAUUUUUUGCUGUUAUUUGGUUCUUGUAUUCCCUUAAUUAUUGUCACUUCAAAUAGUGUUUCAAAGUAAUUAUGGACGCAUUAAAUAUUAAAUUUUUGUUGAUAUGUAUAUCUAUUGUGAGAAGUUUCAUUUAAUAG
This 2884-nucleotide long non-coding RNA is filed under the name Salvia miltiorrhiza (redroot sage). RNAcentral's name for it is "long non-coding RNA (SMIL_LNC004856)". Lineage: Eukaryota; Viridiplantae; Streptophyta; Magnoliopsida; Lamiales; Lamiaceae. The record is from RNAcentral.